Molecule: ribosomal RNA, 254 nt
Filed under: uncultured bacterium
Lineage: Bacteria
Description: partial 16S ribosomal RNA
Rfam family: Bacterial small subunit ribosomal RNA
Source: RNAcentral
UACGGGGGGAGCAAGCGUUGUUCGGAUUUACUGGGCGUAAAGGGCGCGUAGGCGGUCACGACAAGUCAGUUGUGAAAUCUCCGGGCUUAACUCGGAACGGUCAACUGAUACUGCUCGGCUAGAGUGCGGAAGGGGCAACUGGAAUUCUUGGUGUAGCGGUGAAAUGCGUAGAUAUCAAGAGGAACACCUGCGGCGAAGGCGGGUUGCUGGGCCGACACUGACGCUGAAGCGCGAAAGCUAGGGGAGCGAACGGG